Rattus norvegicus (Norway rat) is the source of this 448-nucleotide non-coding RNA. The record is from RefSeq and is a predicted model, not a curated record. Lineage: Eukaryota; Metazoa; Chordata; Mammalia; Rodentia; Muridae.
GUCUGAGUUAUCACUGAACACUGAGUUCUUCUGUCCAGGUAAUUUACUCUGAAGGUUUUCCAAGGAAGAAGGGCAGUGGAACUGGGAACAAUGAAACAGAAAAGCCAAUGUAUAAGAUGGAAUAUUUGUGGUAGCCCUAACUUGAACAGCUCUCGGAAUGAUUUCCCCCUGCAGUUUGUUUUCACUUUAUAUGUCUGACACUGUUUAUUGUCUUCCUGGGGAGGAACACACAUGGGAGUGUGCCUCUGGUCUGAUCUCUCCUUUCAUUUUCACAUGGAUCCUAGGGAUUGAACUCACGGCCAGGCUUGUGUGGUAUACAGUCUUACCUGCUGAGGCACAUCUCUGUCAUAUUGAUUUUCAUAAAUUUUUACAUUAUUUUCUGCCAUGGUAAUCCGGAAUGACUUUGUUUUUAAUGAUUUUUAAUAAAUGUUUAGUUUUAAUCCAUAAA